Molecule: long non-coding RNA, 271 nt
Filed under: Arabidopsis lyrata
Lineage: Eukaryota; Viridiplantae; Streptophyta; Magnoliopsida; Brassicales; Brassicaceae
Description: long non-coding RNA (ALYR_LNC002079)
Source: RNAcentral
AAAAGAGCUUAAAAAGGAGUUGUUGAGUCGACAAGUCCCGAUCGUGAGUUUAAUAGAUAGAGGCUGAAGAUAAAUUUGUAAGGCAUUUAUGGCGCGUGGAUAUUACGUAUCAAUUAGCUAUAAGCCUAUAACCACACUUCUUUUUUUUUUUGUCAUAACAUUACAAAUCCUUGAACUUUUUUUUUUUUUUUUUCUUACGAUCGUACCAAACUACAAAUCUAGAUGUUCUCACGAAUACCACACUUUGGUCUUUGUUAUUUUUGCAAUAUCU